This is a long non-coding RNA of Amblyraja radiata (thorny skate), 1571 nucleotides long. RefSeq lists it as uncharacterized. The transcript has 4 exons. Lineage: Eukaryota; Metazoa; Chordata; Chondrichthyes; Rajiformes; Rajidae. The record is from RefSeq and is a predicted model, not a curated record.
GGUGUAUGUCACAUUCAGAUCAGAGUUCGUAUGCUGAUACUAACAUGUCAUCUGGAUGUGUCAAUCUGAAGGACGCUGAGGUACGUGCGGGUUUGUUUGAUUGGUCUGUGGGAGUUCGUGAUGAAGUGCACUCGGCGACUUACCAGGUUUCAAAAGGGAUAGUGAAAACAAUAGUGGAAAAGUGGAAGCGAAUAAUAACAGCGACGAGUAGAAAUGCAACAUAUGCAAUAAUGUAAAAGUGCAUGGAAUUUGUUUUAGCGAGUGUAGGAUGGCAAAUGGUGUAAUUUCCUCCCAGAAUCCAUGGUAUGGUUUCCAGGCGAAGGACCACCAGCGGGAUUCUGGGCUCACAGCUGAGUGAGUUCCGGACAUCGCUCCGGACCAAAGCCGGUCCCUGGGCUCGCAGCUGCUGCGUGCUCGUUGUACACGGGGCUGGUCGCAUUUUGAUUGGUCUUUUCAAGUCCUGAUGGGGCCGGUUUACUGCACGUGUUUGGGUCCGGAUUGGCGGAUUGAGCUCCGCUCCUCGGAGAUGGCGGGCGAAAGGAAAUGGAACUGGCUGCCUUUGUCACUGACGGGAGCUGUGGCCACCAGUCUCCAGCUCAGCCGAGUGCCGAGGCGCUGCCUAACAUGGAAUAAGUCUGCUGAGUUUGGUGUGUGACACGUUCUGUACUUGCUGAUAAAACAGCACCCUUGCAGGUAGUAGAUCAGGGAGCCUUACUCAUUGUAGAGGCUGGUGACUCCCAUUCGGGCUGGACCCGACUGAGCGAUGGAGGACUGACUCUCCAAACCGAUGGGAGAUACAACACCGACCAGCUUUCUGCAACACGGAGAAGAUGAGGAUGAUAAAAGAAAGGGCUUUAAGGAGGAAGACUGAAGUAUUGGAGAUGAUAACAAAGGAGUGGGAAGGCAUGGUAAAAUGUAUACCAAGAUCUUAAAAAAAUUGUGAAAUGUGAGGAAAUACAUUUGGAAAGGCAAACAAGGCUAGUGAAUACAUGAUUAUGGGAAGAUACCUUUUAUACUUUAUGGAGAAGACAUGCAAAAGAAGGAUUUGUCUGAUAAAUUAGAUACUGAAUGCACAUUCAUGGUGCUUGAAGACCAGAAGUUAAAGAUACUCUGGACAAGCUAAGACGAGUUUUCUGAUCUUCCAAUUGCAGCAUGUCAGGAGUUAGUACAAGCCCAGGCCAGUGGCAAACCAACCUGAAAAUUUGGAAUCACGGAACAAGCUGAUUACAAUUUAAUGAUCUAAUGUUUGAAGUUAAAGAAACUCUGGCACAGGCCACAAACUGUGUGUCUUGUUUAAUUCAGCACGCACAAUAAUGAAAUGUAGGAGGACAGGAGUUUUAAAAAUAAAUAAUUUUAAAAGAAGAAGCAGUUUUUUUUAAAUCUGCACUAUGCCAAUAUUCUGAAUAUCUAUCAGUGAUGGCAGCUUUGCCUCACUUUCCAAGAAAUCCUCUGCUAUCUGUACACUCUCAUUUUCUACUAGAUCUAGUGGGCAUUGACACCAUCUCCCACACAUCAACAAAAACUUAAUUGUAUGUAACAAUUUAAACAAUUAACAUAAUUUGAAAGAGGAA